UACGUAGGUGGCGAGCGUUAUCCGGAAUUAUUGGGCGUAAAGCGCGCGCAGGCGGUUCCUUAAGUCUGAUGUGAAAGCCCUCGGCUUAACUGAGGAAGUGCACCCGAAACUGAGUAGCUAGAGUACUAAAGAGGGUCGCGGAAUUCCCGGUGUAGAGGUGAAAUUCGUAGAUAUCGGGAGGAACACCGGUGGCGAAGGCGGCGACCUGGGUAGAUACUGACGCUGAGGCGCGAAAGCGUGGGGAGCAAACAGG
RNAcentral lists this ribosomal RNA (253 nucleotides) under uncultured bacterium. Its description in RNAcentral is "partial 16S ribosomal RNA". It matches the Rfam family "Bacterial small subunit ribosomal RNA", at positions 524 to 776 of the family's 1533-position model. The record is from RNAcentral.